Molecule: long non-coding RNA, 463 nt
Organism: Belonocnema kinseyi
Lineage: Eukaryota; Metazoa; Arthropoda; Insecta; Hymenoptera; Cynipidae
Exons: 3
Source: RefSeq, a predicted model, not a curated record
AGAUAACUAUGAGUCCAAUGAUGGACCUAGCAUUCUUGGAACCUGGUUCUUUUGCGCAAAGGGUAACCAGUCGAGUUUCCUGAAUGAUAGAGAUGGAUCCAAAAAUAUGAGUUAAUUAAUUUUCUUGGAUUCUUUCAUCUACUUCCUCGCUCCACGGAGUCCUCUAUUUGACAUUACAACCAAAGGUUGUAAUUGCGAUGACACCGAUUUGAUGGAGGAUUAAUAUCAGCUGAUUAUACUUGGAUUAGCUGGAACUCGCCUGUGGUUCAUUGGAUUGAAUUUACUACAGAAAAUGGAUUUAAAAUUUGAUAGCUCACGGGCACAUGUUCAGGUGCAACACAGAACUUAUAAUAUCCUUCUCUAAGAUAUACUUCGAUGCAGAUCCAACCAUCUCUGUCGUUGUAAAUGCGGCACAAUUGAAGGGUCGUGUCUUCACUGUUGUCGAGGAGUUCAACCAAGGUCA